Xyrauchen texanus (razorback sucker) is the source of this 75-nucleotide non-coding RNA. Lineage: Eukaryota; Metazoa; Chordata; Actinopteri; Cypriniformes; Catostomidae. The record is from the annotation of a RefSeq genome assembly.
GGGGGUAUAGCUCAGUAGUGGUAGAGCAUUUGACUACAGAUCUAGAGGUCUCUGGUUCAAAUCCAGGUGCACUCA